GGAGAGGUGGCUCAGUGGUUAAGAGCACUGACUGCUCUUCCAGGAGUCCUGAGUUCAAGUCCCAGCAACCACA
This 73-nucleotide transfer RNA is filed under the name Mus musculus (house mouse). Its description in RNAcentral is "tRNA-Ser". The record is from RNAcentral. Lineage: Eukaryota; Metazoa; Chordata; Mammalia; Rodentia; Muridae.